GCCCCGCUGUGUUCAUAUUAAGAACUCUGACAGGAGAAUAUGGAGAAGAGUUCACCCACUGUACCUUCCCCUAAUCCAUUAUUCACUCAUCUGUUUCCAUUUAUACGCCUCCUGUUUCUAGCAACUAUGUGUGUUGACUGUCUUUGACUUGGGCAAACUUGGGACUAUUUAUGCAUGUACCUUGUAAAUCCUGCAUGCUCAUGUUAACACCAUUCGCUGUAGGUCUGCUGCUCAGUUAUACUCCCAAUAUAGUGUUCUUGUAAAAUGUCUUGCAUUAGCUCUAGGGUUAUAUUUACAGAGCUUUGCAAGUUGUUAGCUUUUCAUUCAGCUUUAAGUUGACUUGCAAUGUUAAAUGGAAACCCCAUGAACCCCAGUUGAUGGGGUUGCCAUGUCAUCAUACUUUCAAAGGGAAUGUUAUUCUAUCGAUUUUCCCCUCACUUCGAAGAGGAAGGCAUCCCAUCAGCCAACAUCAGCGCUGCAAGACAAUAUGAGUCCGAUCCCAUCAUCUGCAGAGGCAUCAACAUCAAGCUCAGCACCAGGAACUAGUAGGAACCUGGUUUAUUUUAUGGUUACACAUCCUCAUGACCUACCUCCAUGACUUUCCAGGAGACCUGCAGUACAAACAAAUCUUCUGCAAUAGGUCGAAGCAGUGAGUGGUAAAGAAAGUGUAUGAGGCUUGUUCACCUGGCUGUGGAUUGCAGGAAAGACCAGAGAGUUUUCAACAAGGAGCCAGAGUUGCAGCCCCCCCAAACUCAACAUCGCCACAGCGCCAAAGCCUGCUAUUACCCAACACAAGAAGAAGUUCACCAGCUGAAAAACAUUCAGGAACAUGCUUGGAACGUUCAAUCAACACAACAUCCGUAUUCAGUUAGACUGAUGUUGUAGUAUGGUCACAACUGCAUUGUGGUGUAUAUAUUGCUAGCUGCAUAUAAGUGUUUUGUAUAAUAUAUUUUACAAGCGACCAAGUGAUUCCAGCAGCAUCAAAAACCAAUAAACUGUUGACUUCAACUU
Non-coding RNA from Oncorhynchus mykiss (rainbow trout), 1011 nucleotides. NCBI's taxonomy places the organism in Eukaryota, Metazoa, Chordata, Actinopteri, Salmoniformes, Salmonidae. The record is from RefSeq and is a predicted model, not a curated record.